GUUUGAACAUUUAUUUGCUUCCUGAGCUUGUACAACAGUCGUGGGAGUUGCUGCAGAAGCAACCGAAAAGCCAGAUGAGCGCUUCUAAGCUUAGGAGGAAGAGAGAGGAGGGCAGCCACCGAGGAUUCUUGAGAGACCGUAGAGUGAAUGAAAGAGUUGGAAAGACUUUAAAGCUCUGGGAGGCUGAAUCCUUUAUUUCGCUGGAAGAAAAACUGAAAGCCAAGAGGGCCAUGCUUUCCCCAAAGCUUUACAGCCAUCAGGGGCAAUGCUGGGACUCCCCCAUGGAUCUCUUGACUCCUAAUACAGUGCUCUUUCUGAUAUGCCAUCUGGCUCCGUAAUGAACAUCGUGUUCCAGGAAAAUCAGUCUGCGCUGAACAGGAUGGAAUUGGGGCAGGAUGUCCAGUGAGGAGGACAUUGAGGCAGUAGAGCAGUUGAUUGCCAAAUGACCACCUACCCUGACUUAAAAGAUCAACCUCAGGGUGGAUUGGAGCUUUCUAGAGUCUCUUGGGACAGCAGAAACACAGGCCGGGUUGGACUGAAUCUUUAAGUGGGACAUGAGGGACAAAGUACCUCCUGUUGGUAAACAUCUCACCACCAGCCCACUGUGGUGGCUAAAAUCCCACCUUUAGUCCCAGCAACAUGUGAGCAUGUCACCAGGAGGUCUUCACUGGCCUGUCUGCCACCUGAGUAUAGGCAUCUUGUGUCCCUGGAGCCCAGAGAGGCUGAAUGUGGAGAGGGUGGAGAGAGGUCUGUAGUCCUCAGAGAAGACUUGCAGCUUUUUCAGAGCCACCAACCCCAUAAAAAAAAAAAACCCCCAAACAGAAAAACCCUAACUGUGGUGACCAGGUACCUCCUGAGACAUGAAGCCUCCACUUACCUGGACCCUGGAGGCCUUUCCGGGCACAGCUGCCAGUGUUGAUCUUAGAUAAGACCACCAGCAAGUAAACACCCAC
RNAcentral lists this non-coding RNA (953 nucleotides) under Pongo abelii (Sumatran orangutan). The record is from RNAcentral. Lineage: Eukaryota; Metazoa; Chordata; Mammalia; Primates; Hominidae.